UUAGCUGUUAGAUGACUGAAAAUAUGUAAAAUAUUUAUUCAUACAUUUUAUGCCUACAUUAAAAGCAGGUGACCAACCACUAAUAUAUAUUAACUGUGAGAUUAACAAAGGCAUUGGUGUGUAUCUUGUUAAAUUUUCCCAAAUGUUUAGGCAUUUUCACAUUAUUAUUAUAUUUGCAUUUUAAAAGCAAAAUUUUAAUGUAUGUUAAUGUUAAUCUGUUUCAUUCUAUACUUAAAGCAUAACUUAAAAAAAUAUUUAAGGAUGGAUCUUUUUUUAACUUUGCUUCUUAGCUUAAGACAUUUUAAAAAAUAUUCAAACUAACAAUGUGUUGAGCUUGCAUCCAUAGACAUGAAGUCCAUGUUAGAAAAUACAUGUUUGUUUUUUCUGUGAAGUUUUUGGUGGCUUAGUCUCUGAAUAUUUUCCACUGUAUUAAACAAAUAGUUUGCCUAAAUGAGGGCAAAAAAUACAGAAUUAUUUCGUGACAUACUGAGUUUU
Molecule: long non-coding RNA, 495 nt
Filed under: Bos taurus (domestic cattle)
Lineage: Eukaryota; Metazoa; Chordata; Mammalia; Artiodactyla; Bovidae
Description: long non-coding RNA NONBTAT025608
Source: RNAcentral